Long non-coding RNA from Corvus hawaiiensis (hawaiian crow), 921 nucleotides. RefSeq lists it as uncharacterized. The record is from RefSeq and is a predicted model, not a curated record. NCBI's taxonomy places the organism in Eukaryota, Metazoa, Chordata, Aves, Passeriformes, Corvidae. The transcript has 2 exons.
UCUGUGGAGACAGAUGGAAAACAACAUUGCAGACUCCGUGCUUGCGUGACAAUAUUGCCCAGUUUCCAGCAAUUAACAUUUACUGGAUAACAUCCAAAUGGAAGAGACUUCUCAAAAGCCUGAAACACUUCAAAGAAAGCAAACUUUAAAAGUCCAGAGUUUACAGAAUGAGCCACAGCGGACCCUGGCAACUGUGUAAAUGCUGGAAGAAGCUGAACCCUGACUGGGAAUGACACUCAACUACAGAAAAAAAGCCUGCGAUAGGAUGCUGAUACACAGUGAAGUGUAACUGCACCGUGAUAACCGUGGCCAAAUCCACAGGAUGCUCCUCAUUCAAUCCCCCUUUCCUGACAUCCCUCCAGUGGGUUUUGUUAAGUGAAAAGAAAGCCAUCAACUAAGUAAUUUGAAUAGAUUGAAUGUGCUAAGGAGAUCUUGAAGACUUGCCCAGUCAAGCCAGCAGCUUCCUGAGAUUCAAGGUGCCUUGGAGGCAGUCUUGGGCAUUCUGAACUUACUGGUGUUCAGAUUUACUAUAGUUGUUCCUUUUCUCAUGUUUUGGACUUGUAAGAAGCAGUGGGAAUUUAGAAAAUACUUUAAGAAACCACAAAAUGGUAACACUUCUGCAAAUUAGGAAAAAAGUGGCCUCUUUGUGUAGCACCUCAGUUCUUUUUUACAGAUCUGUACAAGUUCUUAGGUCUGGUUCUUUCUUUCAUUCCAAAUGCAAAAUCAAAUGCAUGUGUUGUAGCUGACACAUUCUAAUUGUGCACCUAAAGGUGUAACUUGUUUAGCCUGUUGGAUGACUAUGACAAACCAAGUAAUAACCUCUGGAGUUUGAACAAGACACUUACAUGUAAGUUUAUUUUGUCUUACUAUCAUAAUAAAAUUGUGAUGAAAAAAUUAAAAUUUAUGACCAGACUUACCCAA